Molecule: ribosomal RNA, 647 nt
Filed under: uncultured bacterium
Lineage: Bacteria
Description: bacterial SSU rRNA
Rfam family: Bacterial small subunit ribosomal RNA
Source: RNAcentral
CGCGGCCUAUCAGCUUGUUGGUGGGGUUAUGGCCUACCAAGGCGACGACGGGUAGCCGGCCUGAGAGGGUGUCCGGCCACACUGGGACUGAGAUACGGCCCAGACUCCUACGGGAGGCAGCAGUGGGGAAUAUUGCACAAUGGGCGCAAGCCUGAUGCAGCGACGCCGCGUGAGGGAUGACGGCCUUCGGGUUGUAAACCUCUUUCACCAUUGACGAAGCCCUUCGGGGUGACGGUAGGUGGAGAAGAAGCACCGGCCAACUACGUGCCAGCAGCCGCGGUAAUACGUAGGGUGCGAGCGUUGUCCGGAAUUACUGGGCGUAAAGAGCUCGUAGGUGGUUUGUCGCGUUGUCCGUGAAAACUCACAGCUCAACUGUGGGCGUGCGGGCGAUACGGGCAGACUGGAGUACUGCAGGGGAGACUGGAAUUCCUGGUGUAGCGGUGGAAUGCGCAGAUAUCAGGAGGAACACCGGUGGCGAAGGCGGGUCUCUGGGCAGUAACUGACGCUGAGGAGCGAAAGCGUGGGGAGCGAACAGGAUUAGAUACCCUGGUAGUCCACGCCGUAAACGGUGGGUACUAGGUGUGGGUUUCCUUCCUUGGGAUCCGUGCCGUAGCUAACGCAUUAAGUACCCCGCCUGGGGAGUACGG